GAUGAACGCUGGCGGCGUGCUUAACACAUGCAAGUCGAACGGGAUCCAUCAGGCUUUGCUUGGUGGUGAGAGUGGCGAACGGGUGAGUAAUGCGUGACCGACCUGCCCCAUACACCGGAAUAGCUCCUGGAAACGGGUGGUAAUGCCGGAUGCUCCAGUUGAUCGCAUGGUCUUCUGGGAAAGCUUUCGCGGUAUGGGAUGGGGUCGCGUCCUAUCAGCUUGACGGCGGGGUAACGGCCCACCGUGGCUUCGACGGGUAGCCGGCCUGAGAGGGCGACCGGCCACAUUGGGACUGAGAUACGGCCCAGACUCCUACGGGAGGCAGCAGUGGGGAAUAUUGCACAAUGGGCGCAAGCCUGAUGCAGCGACGCCGCGUGAGGGAUGGAGGCCUUCGGGUUGUAAACCUCUUUUAUCGGGGAGCAAGCGAGAGUGAGUUUACCCGUUGAAUAAGCACCGG
Molecule: ribosomal RNA, 457 nt
Filed under: uncultured bacterium
Lineage: Bacteria
Description: bacterial SSU rRNA
Rfam family: Bacterial small subunit ribosomal RNA
Source: RNAcentral